UGUAAAAUCCUUUUCCGGUCGAUCAGGACGGACUCUAGCCUGGGAAUAAGCGUCGGCUAACUACGUGCCAGCAGCCCGCGGUAACACGUAUGACGCGAGCGUAAUCCGGAUCCACUGGGCGUAAAGCGCCUGCAUGCGGUCAGGUACGUCGGUUGUGAAAGCCCCGUGCUCAACGCGGGGAGGCCAAGCGAUACUGCGUGACUUGAGGGCGGACGAGGGGAGUGGAAUUCCCGGAGUAACGGUAAAAUGCGCAGAUAUCGGGAGGAACACCAGUGGCGAAGACGGCUCCCUGGACCGCACCUGACGCUCAGAGCCGAAAGCUAGGGGAGCGAACAGGAUUAGAGACCCUGGUAGUCCUAGCCCUAAACGCUGGAUGCUAGGUGUAGGGCUGAUGAGGCUCUGUGCCGGAGCGAACGCGAUAAGCAUCCCGCCUGGGAACUACGGCCGCAAGGCUAAAACUCAAACGAAUUGACGGGGACCCGCACAAGCAGCGGAGCGUGUGGUUUAAGUCGAUGCUACACGAAGAACCUUACCUGGGUUUGACAUGUUGGUGGUACCGAACCGAAAGGGGAGGGACCAUUCGGGGAGCCAACACAGGUGAUGCAUGGCUGUCGUCGGCUCGUGCCGUGAGGUGUCGGGUUAAGUCCCGUAACGAGCGCAACCCUUGCUGUUAGUUAUACGUGUCUAAGGGGACUGCCGGCGACAAGCCGGAGGAAGGUGGGGACGACGUCAAGUCAGCAUGGCCUUGAUAUCCAGGGCUACACACACGCUACAAUGGCCGGUACAAAGGGCAGCCAAGCCGCGAGGUGGAGCGAAUCCCAGCAAAGCCGCUCCCAGUUCGGAUUGCAGGCCUGCAACCCGCCUGCAUGAAGUUGGAGUUGCUAGUAACCGCGCGUCAGCCAUAGUGCGGUGCAUACGUACCCGGGUCUUGUACACACCGCCCGUCACGUCAUGGGAGUUGGCAACGCCUG
RNAcentral lists this ribosomal RNA (971 nucleotides) under uncultured organism. RNAcentral describes it as "bacterial SSU rRNA". It matches the Rfam family "Bacterial small subunit ribosomal RNA", at positions 424 to 1423 of the family's 1533-position model. The record is from RNAcentral.